RNAcentral lists this unclassified non-coding RNA (225 nucleotides) under Hevea brasiliensis (rubber tree). The record is from RNAcentral. Lineage: Eukaryota; Viridiplantae; Streptophyta; Magnoliopsida; Malpighiales; Euphorbiaceae.
UGGACAUCAACAACACUUGGUAAUAAAGAGAAAAACAAAUCAGGCUAAACCUUCCACAAAAUCAGAUUGUAGAACAUAAAAUAAUUGAAAUUUUACUCCCAAAAAAAGCAUGGGAGAUCGAAUCCAAAGAAAACAACAAUUGUAAAUAACUAAUAGUCCAGUUACAAUUAUAUAAGAGACUUUUACAAUGGGAAAUAGAGGGUUAAAGUUGUUGCACAUCAAAAG